AAAUUUAGGUUACAUAAAACCAAAGGCCUUCAAAGCCUUAAACAGGGCACCAAACAUACCCUAAUUUCUG
This 70-nucleotide transfer RNA is filed under the name Lygodactylus bivittis (tiny scaled gecko). Its description in RNAcentral is "tRNA-Trp". The record is from RNAcentral. Lineage: Eukaryota; Metazoa; Chordata; Lepidosauria; Squamata; Gekkonidae.